This 305-nucleotide ribosomal RNA is filed under the name uncultured bacterium. RNAcentral's name for it is "bacterial SSU rRNA". It matches the Rfam family "Bacterial small subunit ribosomal RNA", at positions 333 to 637 of the family's 1533-position model. The record is from RNAcentral.
UGUGCCUACGGGGCGCAGCAGUGAGGAAUAUUGGUCAAUGGCCGAGAGGCUGAACCAGCCAAGUCGCGUGAGGGAGGACGGCCCUACGGGUUGUAAACCUCUUUUGUCAGGGAGCAAGGGACAGGUCGUGACCUGUUGUGAGAGUACCUGAAGAAAAAGCAUCGGCUAACUCCGUGCCAGCAGCCGCGGUAAUACGGAGGAUGCGAGCGUUAUCCGGAUUUAUUGGGUUUAAAGGGUGCGCAGGCGGAGGCACAAGUCAGCGGUAAAAUCGCGGGGCUCAACCCCGCUCCGCCGUUGAAACUGUG